This 383-nucleotide ribosomal RNA is filed under the name uncultured eukaryote. RNAcentral describes it as "partial 18S ribosomal RNA". It matches the Rfam family "Eukaryotic small subunit ribosomal RNA", at positions 592 to 976 of the family's 1831-position model. The record is from RNAcentral.
CAAUAGCGUAUAUUAAAGUUGUUGCAGUUAAAAAGCUCGUAGUUGGAUUUCUGGUAGGAGCGACCGUGCCGAGCUUGAUUGUUCGAGUAUUGUGUUGUCUUCAGCCAUCCUCGUGGAGAACUUUUCUAACAUUAACUUGUUGGGAUUGGGACCCGCGUCGUUUACUGUGAAAAAAUUAGAGUGUUUAAAGCAGGCAUUAGCUUGAAUACAUUAGCAUGGAAUAAUAAGAUAGGACUUUGGUACUAUUUUGUUGGUUUGCAUACCAAAUUAAUGAUCAACAGGAACAGUUUGAGGAUAUUCGUAUGAACAUGUCAGAGGUGAAAUUCUUGGAUUUUGAUCAGACGAACUACUGCGAAAGCAUUUAUCAAGGAUGUUUUCAUUAA